Molecule: non-coding RNA, 78 nt
Organism: Oryza punctata
Lineage: Eukaryota; Viridiplantae; Streptophyta; Magnoliopsida; Poales; Poaceae
Source: Rfam
AGCAAAAUGGGCAAGUCAUCCCAUCUGAAAGUUCAGUGCUGAUAACGCAUAGAUGGUUGUCAAAGUUCUUUGGUUGCU